This 57-nucleotide ribosomal RNA is filed under the name Rubus vatavensis. RNAcentral describes it as "Rubus sp. MS-2014k partial 26S ribosomal RNA". Lineage: Eukaryota; Viridiplantae; Streptophyta; Magnoliopsida; Rosales; Rosaceae. The record is from RNAcentral.
CGACCCCAGGUCAGGCGGUGUUACCCGCUGAAUUUAAGCAUAUCAAUAAGCGGAGGG